CUAGGCUGCCUCGGUCGCUGCAUAUCAGCGAUCAGGUUUGGUCACCUGGUUU
Molecule: non-coding RNA, 52 nt
Organism: Pseudomonas putida
Lineage: Bacteria; Pseudomonadati; Pseudomonadota; Gammaproteobacteria; Pseudomonadales; Pseudomonadaceae
Source: Rfam